UUUAGAAAGUACCUUGGAACUAAGGACCUUCAACUGAGUCCCCAGUGAAAUAAUCAAAUUAAUAAACAUUUCACCAUGACAGUCUCAUUUAAACCAAAUUCAUGAACAAGUCAGGACAUUACCCUCAUGAUAUUACUGGUCCUCUUUGGAAAUGAAGGGCCAACAAUAAUGACAACAACACAGGAGCUGCAGGUGAGACCCUCAGAAGACUGAAACUGACGACCUUCCUCCCGGCUAGUAUGGAGAACUUUGUAGUGACCCAGUUCCACCAUGUAGGGGAACACAGAAUAAGCCUGUACCUUUGUCUUCAUGGCGCUAAAGAGAGCAAUUAUGUCUCUCCUCAAGGAAUCUUCUCUAAGUGUUUCUUUCCUAGUCAUUCUUGCCUCUCCUCCUGGACGUAUUCUACCAUGCCCUGGAAACCUCUCCACCCUGGAAGCUCACUCUAGCCCUGGGCUUAAUAUAUUGGAAGUACACUUUACCAUUUUGGCUCAUCUCUUUUACUGGCUGGUUCCUUUCAGAAACCCCAUUUUACAGAGAAUGACCAGACCCCCCACCCCGUGCCUUCUUUUCUAGGCUGCAUCCCUGACUCUUCCCAGUAUACUUUCUCCACAAUAUCCCCUUCCUCCGGUAACUUCACUC
Molecule: long non-coding RNA, 639 nt
Organism: Phascolarctos cinereus (koala)
Lineage: Eukaryota; Metazoa; Chordata; Mammalia; Diprotodontia; Phascolarctidae
Source: RefSeq, a predicted model, not a curated record